This 69-nucleotide transfer RNA is filed under the name Allobates masniger. RNAcentral describes it as "tRNA-Ile". Lineage: Eukaryota; Metazoa; Chordata; Amphibia; Anura; Aromobatidae. The record is from RNAcentral.
GGAACCGUGCCUGAAAACAAGGACCUCCUUGAUAGGGAGAACCAUAGGGGCGAAACCCCCCUCGUUUCC